AGCGUUCGUAGCCGGCCGGAAAAGUUCUCCGUUAAAUCCGACGAUCCAAUCGUUGGGCUGCGGGGAAUACUUUUCGGCUUGGGGGCGGGGGAGGUCGGCGGUAGUCCCGGGGUAGGGGCGAAAUCCUAUAAUCCCGGGAGGACCACCAGUGGCGUAGGCGGCCGACUAAAACGCGCCCGACGGUGAGGGACGAAAGCUGGGGGAGCGAACGGGAUUAGAUACCCCGGUAGUCCCAGCUGUAAACGAUGCAGGCUAGGUGUUGGGACGGCUACGAGCCGUCUCAGUGCCGCAGGGUAACCAUUAAGCCUGCCACCUGGGAAGUACGGUCGCAAGGCUGAAACUUAAAGGAAUUGGCGGGGGAGCACAAGCC
This 370-nucleotide ribosomal RNA is filed under the name uncultured crenarchaeote. Its description in RNAcentral is "bacterial SSU rRNA". It matches the Rfam family "Archaeal small subunit ribosomal RNA", at positions 514 to 884 of the family's 1478-position model. The record is from RNAcentral. Lineage: Archaea; Thermoproteati; Thermoproteota.